CGCAUUCGGUUCUGCACUGGUUCCUGCCACAUGGCAGGUGAAAAGGGAAUGCAACACGGGCCCCAAAGGCCCCAAGCGCAGCCGCCCCCGCGACCGUGACCGGAGAGGCCCCCCUCGCCACUGGCAAGAUGCCGGGAAGGCCGGGACGCCGCCCAAGCCACCGCUUGGACAUCCGCAAGCCGGGAGACCUGCCAGUGACGACGAUACGUG
Molecule: non-coding RNA, 210 nt
Filed under: Actibacterium mucosum
Lineage: Bacteria; Pseudomonadati; Pseudomonadota; Alphaproteobacteria; Rhodobacterales; Roseobacteraceae
Also listed under: 1 other name
Source: RNAcentral